This 435-nucleotide long non-coding RNA is filed under the name Hordeum vulgare. Its description in RNAcentral is "long non-coding RNA (HVUL_LNC002373)". Lineage: Eukaryota; Viridiplantae; Streptophyta; Magnoliopsida; Poales; Poaceae. The record is from RNAcentral.
UCCCUCCUUCGUCCUCGCAAGCAUCGCACCAGAUCGCCCGCACCGGCCGGUAGGAGCAAGGAAGGGAGAUCCACCUAACCUAUCAAUGGCGGCCGCUGCUUCCUCCAGCGCCUGGAAGGCCAGGUGGCUCCGCCCGGAGGUACGCACCGAUCCUCUCAUCUGAUCUUAGCUUAGCUUUAGCGAUCUCGCUGGAAUUUCUUGGAUGGUUGUCUUGCGAUGGACGACGGUCAUGGUCUCACGACGGUAGCAUAUGUUCUUGGCAGGCGUACCCGAUCUUCGCGGCGACGGGCGUGGCCGUGGGGAUCUGCGUGAUGCAGCUGGUGCGAAACAUCACCACCAACCCCGAGGUCAGGGUGACCAAGGAGAACCGGGCGGCCGGGGUGCUGGACAACCACGACGAGGGACGCCGCUACGCGCGCCAUCCCUUCAGGAGGU